GUUAGAUAGAGCAGGGACAGUCAAAAACUGUGGGAUAAUACUUCUAUGGUGUCCAGCAUGGUUAGUCAGGUUGACAGAAGUGAAAGAUGGUCUGAUGGUACAAUGAUGUACAAAUGAUACUCUUUAACAAGUUUAACAUGUCAAAGUGUAAAAUGUUCUGUGGAUUCAUAUGUUGAGAAUGCCAAUGUUGAUCUGUAUGACUUAAUGAAACACAGAUGUUUAUACCUUCAGAUAUAUACCUGUGAAAUCUUCAGUGUCACCGUUCAGCUAUUGUUCAAGAUCAGUGUCUGCAGCUUGCACAGUUUAGUAUAGAGGAACCUUCUGAAUCAAUUUUUGUUACAUAUUUGCUGUUAUUGUAGGACGCAUAUGUAGAGAGCAACAAGUCUUGUCCAACUGUGCAUGUAAAUGUGAUUCAGAAACUUUGAGAAUAUGUAAACAUUACACUGUUAUAAUUUUCAAAAUACUGUG
This is a long non-coding RNA of Mercenaria mercenaria, 468 nucleotides long. RefSeq lists it as uncharacterized. The record is from RefSeq and is a predicted model, not a curated record. Lineage: Eukaryota; Metazoa; Mollusca; Bivalvia; Venerida; Veneridae. The transcript has 4 exons.